CCUACGGGUGGCAGCAGGGAGGAAUAUUGGGCAAUGGACGAGAGUCUGAACCAGCGAAGUAGCGUGAAGGAUGAAGGCCCUAUGGGUUGUAAACUUCUUUUAUAGGGGAAUAAAAUGUUCCACGUGUGGGAUUUUGUAUGUACCCUAUGAAUAAGGACAGGCUAACUCCGUGCCAGCAGCCGCGGUAAUACGGAGGGUCCGAGCGUUAUCCGGAUUUAUUGGGUUUAAAGGGAGCGUAGGUGGAUUGUUAAGUCAGUUGUGAAAGUUUGCGGCUCAACCGUAAAAGUGCAGUUGAAACUGGCAGUCUUGAGUACAGUAGAGGUGGGCGGAAUUCGUGGUGUAGCGGUGAAAUGCUUAGAUAUCACGAAGAACUUCGAUUGCGAAGGCAGCUCGCUGGACUGCAACUGACGCUGAGGCUCGAAAGUGUGGGUAUCAAACAGGAUUAGAUACCCCAGUAGUC
RNAcentral lists this ribosomal RNA (460 nucleotides) under uncultured bacterium. RNAcentral's name for it is "partial 16S ribosomal RNA". It matches the Rfam family "Bacterial small subunit ribosomal RNA", at positions 338 to 795 of the family's 1533-position model. The record is from RNAcentral.